CAUCAAGCAGUUGAGGAAGAAUAGGGCGGAUUUCAUUUAAGUCCUUGCAAGCUUCAACAAAGCUUCGCAAUGCAAAAACUGAAUCAAUACGGACAGGAAGCUCCGGAUCUCGUAACCCAGAAACAACACUGUGCAAGGCUUUACGGAAAUUGCUCUGGUCUGAGAAGUUAAUGUGGGCAUAUUGUCCUGCAACCCAAGCUGCCUUUGCUCUAAGAUGACCAACAGGGCU
RNAcentral lists this unclassified non-coding RNA (229 nucleotides) under Hevea brasiliensis (rubber tree). The record is from RNAcentral. Lineage: Eukaryota; Viridiplantae; Streptophyta; Magnoliopsida; Malpighiales; Euphorbiaceae.